CGGUGAGUGGCGUAGUUUGGUAGCGCAAUACGUUCGGGACGUAUAGGUCGGAGGUUCAAAUCCUUCCUCACCGA
This 74-nucleotide transfer RNA is filed under the name Blochmannia endosymbiont of Camponotus sp. RNAcentral's name for it is "tRNA-Pro". It matches the Rfam family "tRNA". From Rfam's summary of the family: Transfer RNA (tRNA) molecules are approximately 80 nucleotides in length. The record is from RNAcentral. Lineage: Bacteria; Pseudomonadati; Pseudomonadota; Gammaproteobacteria; Enterobacterales; Enterobacteriaceae.